Molecule: long non-coding RNA, 454 nt
Organism: Hemibagrus wyckioides
Lineage: Eukaryota; Metazoa; Chordata; Actinopteri; Siluriformes; Bagridae
Exons: 3
Source: RefSeq, a predicted model, not a curated record
UAUUUAAUUUCUGAAGAUGUCAUCUGUUAGUAAUCCAGUGCUUGUAUUACAUGCAGUCGAAUAUUAGGCAUAUACUGUAUGAUAAAUAAUAUUUAUGACCUAUGAACUUAUUAUGUACAAUACUUUUAUUGUACAGAACCUGGCAAAUACUGAGACACCUGCUCUUCAGCAUCCUCUUCUGGAGAGCCACAUUACACCAUGGGAGGUGUUUGGGUCACUGUCCAGACGAGCUGCUAGGUGAAGGCUACAGGAUGGUCUGUGCAGGAGUUCGUAAUGCAGAUGGAAAGCAGGCUCAACUUGGAGUUUCUCCCCACCUGAGUGGGUGUGUGAUGGAGAGUAUUUGGGUUAUCCUGCCACCAUGUGGAGUCUGGGAGUUCUCCUGUUUAUCCUGGUCUGCGGACACUUGCCCUUUUAUAAUGACAACGAUAUUGUUUACAGGAAGAUGUACUUUGCG